RNAcentral lists this transfer RNA (72 nucleotides) under Richelia sp. RM2_1_2. RNAcentral describes it as "tRNA-Glu". It matches the Rfam family "tRNA". From Rfam's summary of the family: Transfer RNA (tRNA) molecules are approximately 80 nucleotides in length. Their secondary structure includes four short double-helical elements and three loops (D, anti-codon, and T loops). The record is from RNAcentral. Lineage: Bacteria; Bacillati; Cyanobacteriota; Cyanophyceae; Nostocales; Nostocaceae.
CGCCCAUUGGUCUAACGGCUAUGACGCAACAUUUUCACUGUUGAGACACGAGUUCGAUUCUCGUAUGGGUGA